CCGCGGGUCAUUACAAUGACGAUUAACUUGAAGGUGACGCCGACGGCGGGAGGAGUCCGCGGGUCAUUACAAUGACGAUUAACUUGAAGGUGACGCCGACGGCGGGAGGAGUCCGCGGGUCAUUACAAUGACGAUUAACUUGAAGGUGACGCCGACGGCGGGAGGAGUCCGCGGGUCAUUACAAUGACGAUUAACUUGGUGACACCGACGGCGGGAGGAGUCCGCGGGUCAUUACAAUGACGAUUAACUUGAAGGUGACGCCGACGGCGGGAGGAGUCCGCGGGUCAUUACAAUGACGAUUAACUUGAAGGUGACGCCGACGGCGGGAGGAGUCCGCGGGUCAUUACAAUGACGAUUAACUUGAAGGUGACGCCGACGGCGGGAGGAGUCCGCGGGUCAUUACAAUGACGAUUAACUUGAAGGUGACGCCGACGGCGGGAGGAGUCCGCGGGUCAUUACAAUGACGAUUAACUUGAAGGUGACGCCGACGGCGGGAGGAGUCCGCGGGUCAUUACAAUGACGAUUAACUUGAAGGUGACGCCGACGGCGGGAGGAGUCCGCGGGUCAUUACAAUGACGAUUAACUUGAAGGUGACGCCGACGGCGGGAGGAGUCCGCGGGCCAUUACAAUGACGAUUAACUUGAAGGUGACACCGACGGCGGGAGGAGUCCGCGGGUCAUUACAAUGACGAUUAACUUGAAGGAUGAAAGUGACGCCGACGGCGGGAGGAACCGCGGGCCAUUACAAAGAUGACGUUGAAGACAGGUCGAGUAUGAAGAUGUCCACAUCACAUCCCAUCCCAUUAUGGAGGCAAAUCCCUUAUUCCCCCCUACUGCCGGGCUAUUCUGGUGAGGACGCCCAUGGUGUGUUAAGGGCCGCCGGUGGUCGUCGUGGUGUUGGUGGCUCCCAGGCCGAAGAGAAGCACUGCCCCUGCGUCUCCCCGGUCCCUGUGAUGCUGGUCGAGUCGGUGCUCUCCUCUGGGCAGCCACUUCCGGACCAGACGGCUUCUCGCUACGCCAUUGUGGGAGUCGAACCCAACAAUGUGAGGAAAACUAAAAGAUAAUAAAUCUAAAAAUGCCUCCGGCCAAUGUGAGUUGAUGGCGAAGGGGGAAGGUUGUGUUGACCAGGGUGCCCUGCAUGGUGUUGACAGGGCUGUGCUGAUGACAGGCGAUGACGAAAGCGGGAAAUUCAGUUUGGUAUUCUCAGACGCUUCCGCCUCUCUUAAUAGAGCUCAUAAAAAUAUUUAUUUGAUUAGUGAUAACGUACAUCU
Molecule: long non-coding RNA, 1270 nt
Organism: Eriocheir sinensis (Chinese mitten crab)
Lineage: Eukaryota; Metazoa; Arthropoda; Malacostraca; Decapoda; Varunidae
Exons: 5
Source: RefSeq, a predicted model, not a curated record